Long non-coding RNA from Colias croceus (clouded yellow), 593 nucleotides. RefSeq lists it as uncharacterized. The record is from RefSeq and is a predicted model, not a curated record. NCBI's taxonomy places the organism in Eukaryota, Metazoa, Arthropoda, Insecta, Lepidoptera, Pieridae. The transcript has 4 exons.
CACCGCGCGCGGCGUAGCGCCUUCUCGUGGCGACAAUCGACGCGCGAACACGUAUCAUCAUUUGUUUUUUUUCUAAACAUAUGCUAAGGCCCUACGCUAAUAAGAACUAUCUAUGAGAAAAGUCAACAUGUUUUCAUUUGACCGCAGUGCGAGAAGAUUAUUAACGAUGGAUUUUAAUAUCAGUAACGUGAUAAAAAUUUUCAAAUAAAAAUAUUUUUACAAAUCGAAAUUACAAAUUUUGAGAACCUGUGAAGUCGCGACUUAGUGACGGCCAGUGAACUAGUGCGGAGUUUUGGGAAGCAAGAAAAUGUUUUCAGCGAAAUCUGAUUUAUCUGAAAGAAUGAUAAUUUAGAAAAUCGAGGAAAAUUCUUCAUCAAUACUUACGGUGGAAAUAAACGCAAAUAACGAGGAAUUAUAAGGACUUUCAACUUGCGGAUCGAAAGUGAAUAGGCGAUGUAUUGGUGUGUUUUUAAACUGUAUUAAAUAUAAAGUUAAUUUUUCCAAACUUGAAAGUCAAGAAGAAUAUUGAAGUAUGUAUCCAGUUAGCCGAAGAACAGAAGACAGAAGAUUUGCAGAAGAGAGAAAAACCUGGU